RNAcentral lists this ribosomal RNA (468 nucleotides) under uncultured bacterium. RNAcentral's name for it is "partial 16S ribosomal RNA". It matches the Rfam family "Bacterial small subunit ribosomal RNA", at positions 28 to 507 of the family's 1533-position model. The record is from RNAcentral.
GACGAACGCUGGCGGCGUGCUUAACACAUGCAAGUCGAACGGAAAGGCCCUGCUUUUGUGGGGUGCUCUAGUGGCGAACGGGUGAGUAACACGUGAGUAACCUGCCCUUGACUUUGGUAUAACUUCAGGAAACUGGGGCUAAUACCGGAUAGGAGCUCCUGCUGCAUGGUGGGGGUUGGAAAGUUUCGGCGGUUGGGGAUGGACUCGCGGCUUAUCAGCUUGUUGGUGGGGUAGUGGCUUACCAAGGCUUUGACGGGUAGCCGGCCUGAGAGGGUGACCGGACACAUUGGGACUGAAAUACGGCCCAGACUCCUACGGGAGGCAGCAGUGGGGAAUAUUGCACAAUGGGCGGAAGCCUGAUGCAGCCAAGCCGCGUGCGGGAUGACGGCAUUCGGGUUGUAAACCGCUUUCGCCUGUGACGAAGCGUGAGUGACGGUAAUGGGUAAAGAAGCACCGGCUAACUACGUG